UAUGAAGGGUAAGGCAAGAGUUGUGCUACAGUAGUAGUUGGGAAUAAGAAUGUGGAAGAGGGUUUUGCUUCUUCUUCUGUUGUUUUCCAGUGAUUUAGCUAUAGUAUGACGAUAAAUUUUGAGGCAAGGACUCAUUCCUGGAAUUAUAGUAGCUGUUUUCUAAAAGAAAUCUUUGUUUCUAUUUUGAGUUUUUCUCUUAUUGGGAGUAAAAAGCUCAAAGGCAGGAAAGGGAAAGAGGUUUCUAAAGCAGAAGUGAUGUAACUGAUGCUGUCUCAAGAUUUGUCACUGCAAAAGAGAAGAGAAUCCUGGAGACCCGGCAAAGGUGGUGGCUGGUGACUUCCCCUGUGUCUGAACACCAGUAGAGGUGGGGCUGAUUGGGGCUGCCAAAAGCCUGGCCCACGUAUCUGCGUGGUUUUGUGCUGCCAAGAGUCAUAGCCUAACCUACACAAGUACAGACAGGACUAUGAUGUGGUUCUACCAGCAGUUCUCUUGGGAACUCUUUGGCUGCUUUCCCAAUUUAGCUGUUACAUUGAUGAUUCAUUUAAAGAGACACAAACACCCUGUUCUCAGGAGUGCCUCUGGAGAUGCUCCCCUGAAGACAUGUCCAAUGGCUUCAUCACUUGUGGGUGCAUCAGAUUUAUUACAGAAAAUGAAAAGAACAGAGAAACAGCGGUGUUUGUUCAGCUGUGAGAACGCAGAGUACACCAGAGCUGCCGAGAAAAGGAAAAUGUAAAGGAUGUUUCAACUCAUAGUCACAGAUGUGUUUGUGACUGAAAUAUCAUGGUAAAAAAAAGGUAAGGAUAGCUCAGAUUUAACCAAAGGAAUAAUUGAGUAGCCAAAUUUCUAAAUAAUCUUUUCUUUCAAGGAUCUUUUUGGGGGUUUUGUGGGGUUUUGUUUGGGCUCUUUUUCCCCACAUGAAACCACCUUUGUCAGUGUCAACUCUUUGGACACACUAAUAUCUAACUUUACUGAUUUGAAAUCUUUGAGAGAGAGUUUUUAUUGGGCUUUUUCUUCUUUGGACCACUGUGCUCAAAAAGAUGUAGAUUCAGGAUCUUCAAACCCUCUGCCUGCCUGUCAGUCAAAUUUUCUUUAUCAGAUAAUGAGGGAACUGGCAACAUAAAUCAGUUCUGUAUUUAGGCUAAACCCUGAAAUAGUAACAUCAGUGAUUUACUGUGAUUUAUCUGUGAUAGUGGUCAGUCUGAUCUGGGGUGAUAAACAUUCUUCACUACAGACCACAGGCAGAAAUCCAGGUGAUGAUAGGGCUGUCCUCAGGUUACACGAUUAAAAGCUCUUCACUCUCUUGGGAAAGGGAAAAGAUAGUUAUGUGUGAACAGAUUGUUACACUCAGGCUUCACACACACAAAAAGAUAUUAUUACCCCACUACUGACAUUUGCAAUUGGUGAAAAACACUUUCUAAAAAUCUGUAUGAUCAUUUUGUUCCCUCUCAAAGAUGUUGCAGACCCAUUUUGUCAGAUUAUGCUCUUAAGAGAGUCCAGACAGGGCAGGACUCUCUCCUGACCAAAUGACUACUGCAAAGCAAGAUUGUUCCAGUGAGUGCCUGCACAAAGAGCUUGUCUGCUCAGUGAGGGCUUCAGCCAGUACCCUCCAGUCUCUCAUCUCAGAGGCAAUCACAGCAUAAGAAGAGCAAGCAGCUGGUUCUGCAUUGUCAUCCAAGCAAUGUGGCUGGGAGUACUGCUGUGCCAGUCUUGCACAAAGUCCCAAAACAGAAUGUUAAUAAGUGGAACAGCAGACUAUGGCGACAGCUAGAAAAUCAGCAUGAUGUGGGGAAAAGUGCUUUUGGUAAAAAAAAGCAUGCUAUACAGCUUUUCUAUCUUUGUUCUUACUCUCUGAAAACUGUAAAAGCCUUCCAAAACACAAGUGUUUUAUUUACUUGGCCUUGAGAUGGUGUGUACAUAAACAUAACAACAUUCAAGUUGCCACAGCUCUCCUCAGUGGUGUGCUUCCCAGCUUCCUGAUCCACAGGAUCCCUGAAUCUCUGAUGUGGACCCUCAUCUACUAGAGUUUGGACUGGUGUUGUCAUAUUUUGACAGUGUCCAGAGGAUCCAACAGGAGGCCAGUCACAAUGUCCUGAGUGUAGUGUAGAUUCUGGGUUCAGAGUGAAGAAAUUGUUCAGCAGGGGUUGCCUUCAACAGGAUCCAUAGGCUAAAAACCAACAGUAAACACACCUCCUGUACUUAUCCAAGUGAGGAAAAAAGCAAGCAAAAGGUGCUUAUGUUUAACCAUUUCUAAAAUGGAGCUUGGGCAGGGAGAGACAAGUCUGUAAAGUGCUGAGUGAAACCACUUCAGUGGGGGACCUAACUGAGACAAUAUAAGAAGCAGUAAUUAACUCAGGACAUGGAAUCUCUUUCAUGCAGUAAUUGUUGCCAAGACCUUUCUUGCUGUAGUUUGUUUAGUGUCAAGAAGCUGUUUGAAAUCUACUGGCUCUUGUAGGUGUUUGUUGUCAGACAUAAGUAUAAAAGUGCAAACCCAUUUACUAUUGAAGUCCUGGAAGCACUUGCAUUGCAAAAUGCAGUCUAUUAUGUUAGGAAAGCAUUGAGGGGUUUUGGUUUGUCCCAGUGCCCCCAUUCCAUAUGAACUGAUUGUGAAGUACAGAACAUUUGGAACUGAAUGAGCAAAAUGUAGAACUCAGAACUGUAGAUAAUUUAUGGUUCUGAAAAGGAAAUUAAAUGGUAGAAGUGACUCAUUAAUAUCAAGUCUUUUUAAUGAGAGUUUAAUGAAAAUGGGCAUGUCCUCAAUGUAGCAUAGAGAGGAAAGCCCUUCAGGCUGUAUCUUAAUGACUUUCUUAGACUGCAUGCAUUUAAAACUUAAGGUUUCAGAUAAUUCUAUGCCAUAAGCAGGAUUUACUCUGUCUUUGACAGCUUCCUAAAUGUUCAUGAAGUUGAGGCAAGAUCUAAAAAAUGUUCAAGCUUAAACGGAGCAUCAUGUAAUGUCCUCUGCUGCUCGUGUUGUGCCACAUUUGUGUCCUCUGUUGCAUCCCAAGUUUUACCCAACUUUUACAUUGUGGCUUUUUUUAUUGAGCCGAAAAAAUAAAAUUUGGCAAUGCCAGAAAUGAGGAUCCUUUCUGUAGUUCAUUGCCUUUGUGCAAAGAGCUUGUCUUUUAAUCCUCGCUGUAGAACAGGACUUGACCUGAGUGAAUGUAAACCAUUUAAGCUGAGGGAAAUUUUCUUUUAAUCCUUUUCCAGCUCUCAGCCUGACUACUUAAAAUGUCCUUGUGGUUCUGCUGCAGAAUUCUUUAUUCUGCCCUAAAGAAUUGUUUAUUCUCUAACAGACAAAUACUUUCAAUAACAUAAAGACAUUUAAGACAGAUUGUUCUAUAGCACUCAGUCAUAUCAGAAAAUCUUAACAAUAAAUGAUAUGUCAUUUUUUUUUUCCCAGAUACACAGAUGUUUUUCAGGCUCUAUAGCAGGAAAUAAAGAAAAAAAAAAAAACAACCUAUUUUCUCUUUACAGCUAAAGCAGUAGUCCAAUUUGGAUCAGGAGAAGAAAUUAAUCUAGAAUCAAAUAUCCCUGCAGCCAUCUGUCUUGUCAAAGAAAGCACAAAUUUCUGCUGUCAUGAUCACAACAGAACAUUCAAAGAGGCUUUUCCCUCCAAACCAAAUCCAUUUUCAAGUAACACUCAAGAUCUAAAUUUUUGUGACAUAGUUUUUACAGGUUAAAAUACCAAAAUUUCUUCGUACUGCAACAUUUUCAACUGUUUUCAAUUUUUUCCUCAGUCUUGUGUAGCUUCAGCUGCUUCUUGUGCCCAUGGUUGAGCAGAGCUAGUCAUUAACACCAGUGAAAAAGCUCUGCAGAUCAAGGCUCAGCCAUGGGAAAGGCUCCCUGUGUUAGCUGGAGACACCCCUGGUAUUCUGGUUCAGAGCUUCCCGUGCUUUACCAUCAAGUUUUUCAAUGAUCUGUUUCAUUCCUGUGCCCCAAAUGAAAAAAUUCUAUGGCUGCUAUGUCAUCUGUUUCAUAGGGGUUCCACUUCUGAACAUCCAGCAAUCUAUAGCCUGUGACUGGUGCUGCCAAGCUGCCCCGUACUCCAUCUUAUCAGUCAAUCCCCUCUGAGGAUCCUCAGUUUCUUUCACUUUGCCCAUCUUUUAUUUAAAAAAAAAAGGGUUAAUGUUUUUCAGGUGUAUAUGCACUUUAUGUACCUUUUGAUACUGAGCAUGGAAAACUCUUCAUUUAAUGCUCCUAGACAAUAAUUCCAGGUAAUAAACAGUGAACUAAGACCUAUACAUAGUCUUUCUCAGCUGUGAGAACAUCAGCUGUUACUGAUUUUGUCACAUUCCUUCGAUGGCAUCUUUCAGUUUUACCCCCAGUCUCUCAGUCCAUCUGACACACAGAUCACAAGGACCCAGCUUCACUAUGGCACGUGGGAUCUUCUUUUGACAGAUUAUUUCACAUGGUCAACAAAGCCCAUCAUCCAUUAACAAGACAAAAAUGUCAUUUUCAGAGCUACUUUGUAAAAAACAUUGGGGCAUGCCAGCAUCCAUCAAAUACAAUUUACAAAAUAUUCUCCUUGCAGAUUAAUGAAUUGCUUCGUAGGCUGUCAAGAAUGCUAGAUAACAAAAUAUCAUCAAGUGAGCAUUCUGUACAAUAAAUACAACUAUUUACAAGCAUCAAUAGCAUUGCAAAAAAUAAUAAGCCUGGAUUUCCUCUUUUGCAUGUCUUGGAGAGGAAGGUCUCCUGCUGCUCUCUGAAUCAGUCAACAUCUGGGCUCUCCAGAGAGCCCUACACAUGAAGUUCAGCAACAUCAACUUGCAAACUGGCAAGCCUUUUCACUACACUGCAUCUACUGCCAUAUUUUCCUUCUGUUUCAUUUUGGGUUUUUUUUUUAAUAUCAAACCUUUGAUUACACUAUCCAAGGGUAUUUUAUACUACAUCUUAUAUUGUUAUGUAUGAUCAUUUUAAACCAAAUGUAAAAUGCUGUUGCUCUUGAUUGAGAUGUUUGCUAUUUGGCAAAGAAAUUGAUGCAGCUUUUAACAUUACUGGAAAUGUUUGUUUUGUGUUUCCAAUGGGAAAGUUUUAUGCCAUUUUGAAUGGGAUAUUUCUUUGUAAUAUCGAUCCGUCAAAACUAUCAAAGAGCUUUCAAGUUGUAAACAGAUCUGACCUUGAGUGUCUGUACAAGUCCACAGAUGCAACUCUAGCAGAGUCUCUUGAGAGACAGUGAAGUCUCUAGCCUUAAAAAUUUUCAGAAUUCAGCAUUAAAAAUCCUGAACCACCUGGUCUAACUUUGAAGUUAGCUCUGCUUUGAGUAGGAGGUUGGACUAGUGAUCUUCCAAGGUUUCUCCCAACUUCUAUUUUUCCCUGUCAUUUUAUAACACCUACUCUUCUUCAGCCUCUCAGAUCAGUUCAUGUUUGUUUCUAUCCCCUUAGAACAGUGAGUGUCCUUUAGUCAUAACUGUUUUUCAAGACUCUUUGUAUUUACCCUGUA
Molecule: long non-coding RNA, 5437 nt
Organism: Passer domesticus (house sparrow)
Lineage: Eukaryota; Metazoa; Chordata; Aves; Passeriformes; Passeridae
Exons: 3
Source: RefSeq, a predicted model, not a curated record